GUGACGUUCCCUACGCGGUCGGGCGUUGGGUUUCGCGGCGCUCGCCGCACUGGUUGUUCAGCACCUUCGGUCCGGUUGAGGUUGUCAAGUCGGACCAAACAGGUUGUUUCUCUGCAGUUUCCAACAUGGCAGGGAGGUUUAAUAGACAUGGAUAAGAAGUCCACUCACAGAAAUCCUGAAGAUGCCAGGGCUGGCAAAUAUGAAGGUAAACACAAACGAAAGAAAAGAAGAAAGCAAAACCAAAACCAGCACCGAUCCCGACAUAGAUCAGUGACGUCUUUUUCUUCAGAUGAUCCUAUGUUUCCUUCUUCCUCAUCAUCGUCUUCAGGAAGCCAGACAGAUUCAAGUAUUGAAGAUGCUGCCAAGGGAAAAAUUAAGAAGAAGAGAAGAGAGAAAACAAAUAAAUGGGAAAAAAGAAAGGACAAAAUAUGAAACACCAAGAAAAAGAGAAGGAAAAAAAGGAGGAAACAACCACAUAUGUCACCUUUCCAAGAGGGACUGAAACUGGGCUGACCCUUUUGAUUUCCAAGCUCAGCGUUUUGGUGUAAGGCGGCCAAAGAAGGAUGCGGAGCCCAGCACUGUGAAGCCUACAAAAACAUUGAUGCGCUGGCUUGGGGAUUUGAAUUUGAACAUCUUUCACACUAAGUUCAGACUCAUGAAACCAAUCUUCAGAUGCUCUGUAAACCACAUAAUAAAGAGUUUGGAAAUUAUAUUUUGUUUUUGAAGGCCCACGUGCAAAACUUGAGAGCCUCAAGUCCAAGCCAGUUGUGGCAAUUCUAGCCUACUUUUUUUUUAUAUUCAAGUGUGUUGUAGGGAAGGAGGAGAAUAAGUCUGCUUUCUUGAAUAUUAUGCCUAAUUAAUUACGUAUAAAAUACUUUUACCAAAGUUCUAUGCAAGGUAGAAGACUUACAGAUGGCAUGAAAAAGAUAAAGUCUUUUCCAUGUUUUUUUUUUUUUUUUUUUUUUUUUUUGAGACAGAGUUUCACUCUGGUCGCCCAGGCUGGAGUGCAGUGGGCCAGUGUCGCCUCACGGCAACCUCCGCCUCCCAGGUUCAAGUGCUUCUCCUGCCUCAGCCUCCUGAGUAUCUGGGACUACAGGUCCAUGCCACCACACCCAGCUGAUUUUGUAUUUCUAGUAGAGACAUGGUUUCGCUAUUUUGUCCAGGCUGCUCUCGAACUCCUGACCUCAGGUUAUCUGUUCCCCACGGCAUCCCAAAGUGCUGGGAUUACAGGCGUGAACUACCGUGCUUGGCCUCUGUGUACUUCUUUUUUGUUGUUAUUGUUUUUGAGAUGGAGUUUCACUCUUGUCAUACAGGCUGGAGUGCAGUGGCGCCAUCUCAGCUCACUGCAACCUCUGUCUCCUGGGUUCAAGCGAUUCUCAUGCCUCAGCCUCCCAAGUAGCUGGGAUUACAGGUGUGCACCACCACGCCCAGCUAAUUUUUGUAUUUUUAGUAAAGACAGGGUUUCACCAUGUUGGCCAGGCUGGUCUCGAACUCCUAACCUCAGGUGAUCUACCCACUUCAGUCUCCCAAAGCGCUGGGAUUACAGGUGUGAGCCACCGUACCUGGCCCAUGUACUUCUUACUUAGUUUUUCUUCCCGCGUCUUAUGUUUACAUUUGCAAUUAUGUCUUCUUCUUUCAACAAAUAUUACAGGUUUUCAUAAUCUCAAAUAUUUGUUUUUAGAGCAUGAUGUAAUGUUCCUUUGCAUUAGGUACACUGAUUGUGGGUUUCCAACAAAAAGUUUUCAGGUCUAAAAAUGAUCACAUCAUGCAGUAUACCCAGGAAUCAAACCUGCACAUCUAUCCCCUAAGUCUAAAAAUGAAAGUUGAAAAAAAUAAAAAUUAUAUAAGAAAAAAAUUAUCACAGUGUUUUAUAAAAUAAGAAAGCAGACCACGCGUGGUGACUGAGGCUUGUAAUCCCAGCACUUUAGGAGGCCAAGGCAGGCGGAUUGCUUUAGCUCAGGAGUUUGAGGCCAGCCUGGCCGAAAUGGUGAAACUCUGUCUCUACAAACACACACACACACACACGGUGAAACUCUGUCUCUACAAACACACACACACACACACACACACACACACAAAUUUAGCCAGGCAUGGUGGCACAUGCCUGUAGUCCCAGCUACUCGGGAGGCUGAGGUGGGAGGAUUGCUUGAGCUUGGGAGGCAGAGGCUGCGGUGAGCGAAGAUCACACCACUGCACUCCAGCCUGGGCGCCAGAGCAAGACUCUGUCUACAAAAAACAACAAACAGAAACAGCAAUUUGCCAGAGGAAACCCGGGUGCCACCAAGAUGCCGGCUUACCACUCUUCUCUCAUGGAUCCUGACAACAAACUCAUUGGAAACAUGGCAUUCUUAUCUAUCAAAAGUCAAUUCAAAGGACCUGCCCCUAGAGAGACAAAAGAUAGAGAUAUUGUGGAUGAAGCCAUUUAUUACUUCAAGGCCAAUGUCUUCUUCAAAAACUAUGAAAUUAAGAAUGAAGCUGACAGGACCUUGAUAUAUAUACCUCUCUACAUUUCUGAGUGUCUGAAGAAACUCCAAAAGUGUAAUUCCAGAAGCCAAGGUGAGAAAGAAAUGUAUACACAGGGAAUCAAUAAUUUUCCUGUUCCUGAAGAGCCUAGUUUUCCACUUAAUGCAAUUUAUGCCAAACCUGCAAACAGGAAGAUGAAGUGAUGAGAGCCUGUUUACAACAGCUAAGGCAAGAGACUGGACUGAGACUUUGUGAGCAAGUUUUCAACCCUCAGAAUGAUCAACCCAGCACGUGGUGGACUUGCUUUGUGAAGAGACAGUUCAUGAACAAGAGUCUUUCAGGACCUGGACAGUGAAGGGAGCCCAGGCAGCCACCAUCUCCAGAGCCCUGAGCAGCAUUUUCCAGCAAGAUGUACACAAUCUUUUGCCUUUAUUUCAUAAAGUUUUAUACAGAAGAGAGAAGACCAGAAAAGCAUGUCUUUACUUGAAAAACUCUUGAUCAAGAAUUCGGGUGGGAGCAAAGAAAGUGGGUUAUCAAGGGUUAUUUGAAAUUUUCUGUAGUAUUAAGCUGGCACUUAAUAAGAAUAAUAAUAAAGAAAUUUCUAACAUUCAAAAAAAUAACAAUUAGAAACUCAUAUAUUAGCAUAAAUAAUACACAUGUUUAUGAAAUAAUAAUUAGGCCAGGUGUGGUGGCUCACACCUGUAAUCUCAACAUUUUGGGAGGGCAAAGUGUGCAGAUUGCUUUAGUUUUGAGACCAGCCUAGGCAACGUGGUGAAACCCCAUCUCUACUAAAAAUUAGACAGUCAUGGUAGCACGUGCCUGUAGUCCCAGCUACCUGGGAGGCUAAGAUGGGAGGAUCACCUGAGCCUAGGAGAUCGAGGCUGCAGUGAACCAUGAUCGUACCACUGCACUCCAUCCAGCCUGGGACACAGAGUGAGACCCUGUCUUAAAAACAACAACAGCAACAAAACAAACAGUAGCUUUGUUUUAACACUUUUCAAAUCUAAUGUCUGGAGUGGUACAAACACCCUAAGGUGUUACCAGUGAGUUUUGUGAGUGCAGGAAAAUCUGUGCCUUGCUUCUAGCCAAAAGAAUAUGGCAAAAGGGAUGAUACAGUGACUCCCAUAAUCAUAUUAUGUUAUAUAAGACUCUAUCAUAGCUGACUGGAGGGAGAUUUCCCUGCUGGCUUUGAAGAAAUAAGUGGCCAUGUUGUGAGAGGACCACGUGGCAAGGACUUGUGGAUGACCUCUGGUUGCUUAGAGCAGUCCUUAGCCAACAGCUAGCCAUUAAAUAAGGCCUUCAGUGCUACAAGACACUGAAUUCUGCCUACAACCAGCGAGCUUGGAUAAGGAUCUGAGCCUUAGAUGAGAUUGCAGCCCUGGCCAACUCCUUGAUUUUAGCAUUGUGAGACCCUGAGAAAAAACCCUGAGGAGCUCGUCUGAACCUAGACUCCCAACCCAUGGAAAACUGAUAUAAUAAGUGAGUGUUGUCUUAAGCUGCUAAAGUGAUAAUUUGUACACAGUAAUAGAAAACUGAUAUAUAUGGCUUCUUACAUUGGCUUCUGCAUUCAACUAUUGCAACAUGUUGUUUUAAUUGAAGUACAUAAAGAAAAUCCAGCCUCACACAGAUCAGUUAUGUAGCU
Molecule: long non-coding RNA, 4105 nt
Filed under: Homo sapiens (human)
Lineage: Eukaryota; Metazoa; Chordata; Mammalia; Primates; Hominidae
Description: non-protein coding LINC00467:20
Source: RNAcentral